This 585-nucleotide ribosomal RNA is filed under the name uncultured bacterium. RNAcentral describes it as "partial 16S ribosomal RNA". It matches the Rfam family "Bacterial small subunit ribosomal RNA", at positions 355 to 1375 of the family's 1533-position model. The record is from RNAcentral.
UGGGGAAUUUUGGACAAUGGGCGAAAGCCUGAUCCAGCAAUGCCGCGUGUGUGAAGAAGGCCUUCGGGUUGUAAAGCACUUUUGUCCGGAAAGAAAUCCUUGGCUCUAAUACAGUCGGGGGAUGACGGUACCGGAAGAAUAAGCACCGGCUAACUACGUGCCAGCAGCCGCGGUAAUACGUAGGGUGCAAGCGUUAAUCGGAAUUACUGGGCGUAAAGCGUGCGCAGGCGGUUUGCUAAGACCGAUGUGAAAUCCCCGGGCUCAACCUGGGAACUGCAUUGGCGACUGGCAGGCUAGAGUAUGGCAGAGGGGGGUAGAAUUCCACGUGUAGCAGUGAAAUGCGUAGAGAUGUGGAGGAAUACCGAUGGCGAAGGCAGCCCCCUGGGCCAAUACUGACGCUCAUGCACGAAAGCGUGGGGAGCAAACAGGAUUAGAUACCCUGGUAGUCCACGCCCUAAACGAUGUCAACUAGUUGUUGGGGAUUCAUUUCCUUAGUAACGUAGCUAACGCGUGAAGUUGACCGCCUGGGGAGUACGGUCGCAAGAUUAAAACUUAAAGGAAUUGACGGGGUCAUAGCUGUUUCCU